CUUUCUAGGACGUGUUUUAUGCGACUUCUUUUUCUGCCUCAUUUUGUCCACCAAACUGUUAACGUUGUGCAUGAAGGCACAAAGCCUCCUACGGCCAGAAAGGGAAAGACUGGAGCUCCGUAGUCGGCCAUGCAGCUCAUUCCUAAAUCGGUGAUGUCUUUGAAAGACAGAGCUGGUUGGUCCUGAAGAACGGACCGAAGUGUUUAUCAUGGAAAUCCUUCUCCUGGCGGGCUCGGCUGUUGGACGCCGACCACAGCUCCACCGGGUCAGUGGUGAGUUUAAGGGACAUGAGGCCGGCGGAGAACGCGGCGACAAUGAUGGCCGACACCAGGAGAACCUUAGAA
Non-coding RNA from Nerophis lumbriciformis (worm pipefish), 344 nucleotides. NCBI's taxonomy places the organism in Eukaryota, Metazoa, Chordata, Actinopteri, Syngnathiformes, Syngnathidae. The record is from RefSeq and is a predicted model, not a curated record.